UGUACUAUAAAAUGACCUUGGAAUUGAAUAAACACACACACGCAUAUUCAUAUAUAGUGAGGUCCGUACUAGCUCUCCAUUUCAAUUCGAGAGCCAAAGAUGGCGGACGGAGGAGAAGAGAACAACAGUAUCAGAGUAUGUGGCAUGCAAUUCUCAUACGAAGGCCAACCACCCAUCUUCGCCGACUUCAACCUCAACAUCCAACCCGGAUCUCGAUGCCUCCUCGUUGGCGCCAACGGAUCUGGAAAGACCACUUUGCUGAAGAUUCUUGCGGGUAAGCAUAUGGUGGGAGGGAGAGAUGUGGUGCGUGUGCUGAAUCGUUCGGCUUUUCAUGACACCCAGUUGGUGUGUGAUGGUGACUUAUCCUAUUUGGGAGGAACUUGGAGUAAAACCAUUGGCUCUGCUGGUGAGGUUCCACUUCAGGGUGAUUUUUCUGCCGAACAUAUGAUAUUUGGAGUUGAAGGGAUUGACCCUUUAAGGAGAGACAAGCUGAUUGAUCUACUAGAUAUUGAUCUGCGAUGGAGAAUGCAUAAGGUAUCUGAUGGGCAGAGGCGUCGAGUCCAAAUCUGCAUGGGUCUUCUUCAUCCUUUCAAGGUCCUUUUGCUAGAUGAAAUUACAGUUGACCUGGAUGUUGUUGCUAGAAUGGAUUUACUUGACUAUUUCAAGGAAGAAUGCGAACAGAGAGGAACCACAAUAGUAUAUGCAACCCAUAUUUUUGAUGGCCUGGAGACAUGGGCAUCACAUCUGGCAUACAUCCAAGAUGGUGAGUUGAGGAGGUCAGAGAAGUUAUCAGAGGUUCAUGAGUUGAAGAAUUCAUCCAAUUUGCUUUCAGUGGUUGAGUCAUGGCUCCGUACUGAAACCAAAUGUGAGAAAAAGAAACAUGUUAACCCUCCUGCCCAAGUCCAGAAGACAUCUACUUUGGGUACUUCUCCUUUUAUGUCAUCCAGACACAUGGCAUACUAUCGUUAAUCUUUCUGCAGUUUAUUCUUUGUCUUAUUGAUCAAAUAAACCUCAAAAUAGGAAUUCAAUUCAAAGCCAAAUGUAGAAGAGAAAUGACAAAAGCUUUUAAGCAAUAUGUCAGCAUUGCUCAAUGCUGUUUCAUACUUGUAAAAUUCUUAUUUUCUUGAGUGAUAGUGUUACUUUUUAGUAGCUCCUACGGAGAUUGGGGAUAUCAAUAGCUAUCUGAUUUGUUGGCUACAUGGCGAAGCCAUAAUAUUCUGCCGCUGGCAGAUAAUAAUGUAUCAAAUCACAUUAUUAUUCAUAUUUGGCUACAUUAUUUUGGUUUUCGAGAA
RNA transcript from Quercus lobata, 1292 nucleotides. It is a transcript of the gene named ABC transporter I family member 21-like, with no coding region annotated. The record is from RefSeq and is a predicted model, not a curated record. NCBI's taxonomy places the organism in Eukaryota, Viridiplantae, Streptophyta, Magnoliopsida, Fagales, Fagaceae. The transcript is spliced from 7 exons.